CUUGAGUUAUAAAUAUAAGAGGUCCAGCCUGCCCAGUGAUUAAAUUUAACGGCCGCGGUAUCCUAACCGUGCGAAGGUAGCGUAAUCACUUGUUCUUUAAAUGAGGACUAGUAUGAAUGGCACCACGAAGGUUUUACUGUCUCCUUUUCCUAAUCAGUGAAACUAAUCUUCCCGUGAAGAAGCGGGAAUAAGCGAAUAAGACGAGAAGACCCUAUGGAGCUUUAAACACAAUAACAAAUACUACUUUAAACAAAAAUUUCUUAAUGACUUUCUCCCUGGUAUUAUGAUUAUUAGUUUUAGGUUGGGGUGACCGCGGAGAAAAACACAACCUCCACAUUGAAUGAUAAAAUUCUAAGCAAAGAAUCACAUUUCCACGCAUCAAUACAUUGACAUCAAUUGACCCAAUUAUUUUGAUCAACGAAC
Molecule: ribosomal RNA, 423 nt
Filed under: Atelopus hoogmoedi group sp. ABGD cluster 1
Lineage: Eukaryota; Metazoa; Chordata; Amphibia; Anura; Bufonidae
Description: partial large subunit ribosomal RNA
Rfam family: Bacterial large subunit ribosomal RNA
Source: RNAcentral